AGAGUUUGAUCCUGGCUCAGAUUGAACGCUGGCGGCAGGCCUAACACAUGCAAGUCGAGCGAGAAAGCACUUCGGUGCGAGUACAGCGGCGGACGGGUGAGUAACGCGUAGGAAUCUACCUGGUAGUGGGGGACAACUCGAGGAAACUCGAGCUAAUACCGCAUACGCCCUUCGGGGGAAAGCGGGGGAUCUUCGGACCUCGCGCUAUUGGAUGAGCCUGCGUUGGAUUAGCUUGUUGGUGAGGUAAGAGCUCACCAAGGCGACGAUCCAUAGCUGGUCUGAGAGGAUGAUCAGCCACACUGGGACUGAGACACGGCCCAGACUCCUACGGGAGGCAGCAGUGGGGAAUAUUGCGCAAUGGGGGCAACACUGACGCAGCCAUGCCGCGUGUGUGAAGAAGGCCUUAGGGUUGUAAAGCACUUUCAAUUGGGAAGAAAAGUUUGUCGUUAAUAGCGGCAAGCCCUGACAUUACCUUUAGAAGAAGCACCGGCUAACUCCGUGCCAGCAGCCGCGGUAAUACGGAGGGUGCGAGCGUUAAUCGGAAUUACUGGGCGUAAAGCGCGCGUAGGUGGUUUGUUAAGUCAGCUGUGAAAGCCCUGGGCUCAACCUGGGAAUUGCAGUUGAUACUGGCAGGCUAGAGUACGAGAGAGGGAGGUAGAAUUCCAUGUGUAGCGGUGAAAUGCGUAGAUAUAUGGAGGAAUACCAGUGGCGAAGGCGGCCUCCUGGCUCGAUACUGACACUGAGGUGCGAAAGCGUGGGUAGCAAACAGGAUUAGAUACCCUGGUAGUCCACGCCGUAAACGAUGUCUACUAGCCGUUGGGAGACUUGAUCUCUUAGUGGCGCAGCUAACGCAAUAAGUAGACCGCCUGGGGAGUACGGCCGCAAGGUUAAAACUCAAUGAAUUGACGGGGGC
This 913-nucleotide ribosomal RNA is filed under the name uncultured bacterium. RNAcentral's name for it is "bacterial SSU rRNA". It matches the Rfam family "Bacterial small subunit ribosomal RNA", at positions 8 to 920 of the family's 1533-position model. The record is from RNAcentral.